RNAcentral lists this unclassified non-coding RNA (331 nucleotides) under fungal sp. RNAcentral's name for it is "partial internal transcribed spacer region". The stretch from base 1 to 44 matches the Rfam family "Eukaryotic small subunit ribosomal RNA", at positions 1788 to 1831 of the family's 1831-position model. The record is from RNAcentral. Lineage: Eukaryota; Fungi.
GUCGUAACAAGGUUUCCGUAGGUGAACCUGCGGAAGGAUCAUUACCACACAACAAAAGCAGACAGGGGGAGUGCUCCUACUUCGGACGGAAUCCCUCCUCCUCUCUCGCCAACCCUCGGUUUGACUGUUGUCUUCUGAAAGCGCGUGCUGUGGUCUCGCAGCAGCAAGCGUGGUCAGCCAGCCUGGCCGAAUUGCUAGCAAUGAGCGCCCCUUUUUUCAACCCAAACUAACCCAACAACUGAAACAUAAAGGUGGCUGCUGCUUACGGCACAGCCACUUGAAAGAACUGUAAUACCUUUACAACUUUCAGCAACGGAUAUCUUGGCUCCCA